UGCAUAUUGAAAUGAACAGGUGUCUUUUUAACGAGACUUAAUAGGGAAGGUUGGUGAAAAUCCAACGCGGUCCCGCCACUGUAAAUGGGAGCAAGCUGAGAAAUGCCACUGUACAAAUGUAUGGGAAGGCACAGCGAGCAUUGACCAUAAGCCAGGAGACCUGCCUGUCCAUUGCACCAAGC
RNAcentral lists this non-coding RNA (182 nucleotides) under Mesobacillus subterraneus. The record is from RNAcentral. Lineage: Bacteria; Bacillati; Bacillota; Bacilli; Caryophanales; Bacillaceae.